GUUAGCUUAGUGUAAAACAACACACCGGACUUUCAAGCCGGAAAAACUUAAAAGUAGCUAACCC
This 64-nucleotide transfer RNA is filed under the name Parvasolenaia rivularis. Its description in RNAcentral is "Solenaia rivularis tRNA-Glu". The record is from RNAcentral. Lineage: Eukaryota; Metazoa; Mollusca; Bivalvia; Unionida; Unionidae.